UGUUAAACUACAGAGUGCUUGCAACCCUUGGGGGGGGAAUUAACUUAAAUUAGCCAACAGGCACCAGAGUAGGGCAUAAAAUCUUCGUCAUGGUUUUGGUCGCGUUAGCUUCUUAAAUGCGUGAAGUCUCCAUUCACAUGAGGAAAGCGGCACCGACCCGAACCGACCAGCCUCCUGUGUUCCGUCCCGCUAUUCUACACUAGGCAGUGGUGGUGGUGGUCUGGUGGCAUGGACAUUGCGCUCUUCCCCUGCAUCUCCACCCCGAGGGGAAUACUGCUUAUACUACCCACGCUUUCUUUUUGUUAAUAUUUCUCAAUGCCCUACCGGCGGUAUUAUUAGCAGCCUAAUAUUUCUACCAGUCUAACCCUUUGCUAGCCUCUGUCUCCCUGCUUUUUCUUUGUCCUGACUCUGGCUACCAGUCUCCCUCCUCCUCCUCCUCCUCUGCCUGCCUCUGCUGGCGGGGCUGCGGCGCAGACACACAUAAUAAAGCCAAGGCAGGCAGUGCUUGGCUGGAAAUGUAGCCGCGUCCCAGCAGGGGGAUGUGAGAGAAGGGUCCCGGCGGGGGAGCGCUCUGAUCCCGCAGGGAGCAGCUCGGCACAGCCCGGGUUGGCUGAGGCAGAGAGGCAGGAGAGAGGCGGGCUGGGCUGAUGGAGAGAGAGAGGAGGCAGAGGGGAGAGUUAGGCAACAGCGCCUAGCUGUGGCCGACCGGCACAACUACAACCGGGACUCUGAGAAUACAGACGGAGGAGAAAGAGGGAAAACAUGGACUUGGACUGAAGUGAGAUGUGGAAGAGGCUCUGAAGUUAAAAGGUGCAAUAAGUAGUCUAAGUUUGACAAACAAAAUGAGGGUUGUUAAACAGCACAAGUAUCGAAUGAUUAUGUCACCUGGUGCUGAGGUAUCUGGUUUUAAACACAAACACUGCUCAGCUGUAGAGGAAGGUGCUACCAGCCAGCAACCAGUGUCACAACAUGUCACUCUCAAGCCCCAGUAGCAAUGUUUUGUAUCUCUGCAACAUUUCUGUUGCAUUUAAUAGCAUGCUCCUCUGUUGUCUGGCUUUACUAGUUAGGCCAAUAAUAGGCCACUGCAAGCUGUGACUGUGACUUUUUGUACCAAAUUUAAAUUUAUGCAUAAGACAACCAGAAUUCCUCAUGUUUGUUUGUAAGCAGUAAGGAAUUUCCACAGUGAACAGUUACAGUAGAGUUGCUCGUCUUUUUGCUUGCUCUUCACAAUAUUUUCACACCAAAAAUGUGUGCAUCUUUUGGAUGGAAACAUACCUACAGCGGAGUCAUGACCGAGUCUUUGUAAUCCCUCGGUGACAAAUUGAGGUCAAUAAAAGUUACUAAAUUGCCCUCUAAUGCAUGGGGGGGUUUGUUGGGUUGAGCAAGUUGUGACACACACCUUCACCUAAAUGAGUCCAAAUUUGACAGUGUAGACAGCAGCUGUGUUCAGCUUGAAUCACCAUGAAAGCUUCAACCAAAAUGUAUUUGGUGGUCACUAGUGAUUUAUCGUUAACAAAGUAAUGUUUCAUCCGUAAGCAGGCAUUAAUCUUCUUGACGACACAAAUGUAGCAAAGUGAAUUUCAAUGUUUCUGUCAAAAAAACAGGUAGUUUAAUGUGUGUCCUAUAAUUCAGUAUAGUAAGCCCCUCAAUGUUACAGAUAAUCUUUUUUUUUUUUUUUGAUUGCUGGUAGCUAUCCUCUGUACAGCACCUAAACAGAAUGUUGGAUAUGCACAUCCUUUCCUUUUUCAAAGUUUUUGGUAACAUAAUGUUAGACAGACUGAAUGGCACUGUGUGGAAGCAUAUAGGCUAGUUCUUCUUUUUGCUGGGCUUCCAAAGUUCCACAGCAAUCCCAGUGCAGACAUGAAUUGAUUGUUUUGCAGACUAACACAUUUUUAUAGCUAGUAUUUUAGUCCAGGAAUUCAGGAAAAGAUUGCAGGAAACAAAGGCAUGGAUUCAACCGGUAAUGGGCCAUUCCCUCCAUAACAUUUCUUCACAGGAUUUGUGCACAGUUUUGGAAUGUCGAAAUGUUUUUCAUCUUGAAAUGCUCCCCGCUUUUUCAGCUUCUGUCAUUUAAUUCAUUGGUGGUGGACUCGUUUCUUUAGGACAGUGUCUGACAGGAUUAGUUUAAGCCUAUUCAUUUAGGCUGAGCAGAACCUAUCCGUGUGAAAUGAACAUUUUCCGCACUUUAGAUCGAGACCACAUGAAAUGUCUGUUUCUAUCCAGUCAUGGGCAUACAAGAACAUAGACCUUUGUGUUGUAGUGAUGUACUAUCAAAUGUUUAAAAUCUGAGCCAUUUCCUUAAAAGAAAAUACUGUCCUCCAUUGCCCUUUUCUAUGGUGCUUUGGAUAUGCCCCUCCAAGAGGAGUCCUUUUAUUAUUUUUCACAUUGGAGGGCACUUUAUAUCACAGUGAAAAUAAACCAUUUCACUUAC
Siniperca chuatsi (mandarin fish) is the source of this 2431-nucleotide long non-coding RNA. RefSeq lists it as uncharacterized. The record is from RefSeq and is a predicted model, not a curated record. Lineage: Eukaryota; Metazoa; Chordata; Actinopteri; Centrarchiformes; Sinipercidae. The transcript has 2 exons.